This 93-nucleotide small RNA is filed under the name Enterobacter hormaechei. RNAcentral describes it as "partial RtT sRNA". It matches the Rfam family "RtT RNA", at positions 49 to 130 of the family's 130-position model. Rfam says of the family: This family represents a bacterial cis-regulatory element known as RtT RNA. The exact function of RtT is unknown although it is thought that it may be involved in changing the cellular response in relation to amino acid starvation. RNAcentral also lists the same sequence under 1 other name. The record is from RNAcentral. Lineage: Bacteria; Pseudomonadati; Pseudomonadota; Gammaproteobacteria; Enterobacterales; Enterobacteriaceae.
UGUCUUACUCAGAUACUACACGUGAAGGAUAACGUUGCUUUAGCAACGGCCCGAAGGGCGAGGCGAAGCCGAGUCAUCCUGCACGACCCACCA